AUGCCUCCCUUCUCCUCCUUGCUCAAGUUGCUCCUAGAAAUCCCAUUUCGCCCCACCGCGGGGAGGAACGUCCCCGGGGCAGCUGUCACCAGCCAUGGGACUGUUCGCUGGCCUGCGGUGGCUUUCCAAGCUCAGAGUUGGGUCUACUGGGAGAACGCACACAGCUUUCCAGAGCCUUGCACAGUUUCUAUGUUAAAAAAACAAAAAAACAAAAACCCAAACACGCGUUUUUGUCUGCUCCAGCAAACUCCAUUUGAUGUGAAAUUGCCUGCGGGAAAACCAUUCGCCGCAGGUCAGGAGAAAGGAAUGAAUAAGGUGCUCCAGGGACGGUGGCAUCUCCAAACGCCUCUCCAAGCCGGCAGCCGUGAAGGGAAGCUUGGCUCUGGCGAAAUCCCCCGGCCAAGAGCCCCCAGUGGCGGGUGCUGUGCCAGCGCAUGCCUGGCGCCAAGAGGAUGUGCUAGACAGAGCACGCUUUGUGUCGCGCCUGGCCCAGGCUUGCCCGGCAAGCGGCAAGGCGGCAGCAAUACGCUGGGGUCUGUCGCGCCGGCCCUCCUGCACCAUCUGGGUUCCCUGAGGUCUCCUGCGGAGCCAGGAGGUCGCCCAAAAGGAGGGAAGGCAGAAAAAAAAUGGGAAAAACGUGGGGAUGGAGAGGUGAGAUGUGUGUAUGGACCAUGCAGGGAAGGGUUUGCGUCUCAGGAGCUGGGGAAGGCAGAGCUGAGGAGACCAGCGGAGGGGACGUCAUCUUCUGGGAGACGGAGCCAAGGCCACUUGGGGGGUCACGUCUUCGUGUCCCCAAAGAGCAGCUCUUGCUGCUCUCCUUGUGGCAGGGGCUGGGCCCCGGACUCGUGGUGCCGGUGGCUCCCACGCGACUUGCUCGGCACCCGGACGUGCCUUCAGGACUCUUUGCUCCUGGCUCCUUCCCAGACCCUGGCGACAGCCCGUCUCCUGCCUCAAGGACAUGGCAAGGUCACACGCGGCGUCACUUGGGGACACAGGCUUUUCUCACACCUGCUUUUCAGGUGCCGGGAAACAAAAGAAACCCAAGAUGUUUAA
Molecule: long non-coding RNA, 1053 nt
Filed under: Apteryx haastii (Great spotted kiwi)
Lineage: Eukaryota; Metazoa; Chordata; Aves; Apterygiformes; Apterygidae
Description: lncRNA (ENSAHAG00000011181.1)
Source: RNAcentral